Molecule: ribosomal RNA, 683 nt
Filed under: uncultured Bacteroidales bacterium
Lineage: Bacteria; Pseudomonadati; Bacteroidota; Bacteroidia; Bacteroidales
Description: bacterial SSU rRNA
Rfam family: Bacterial small subunit ribosomal RNA
Source: RNAcentral
GGCUUAACACAUGCAAGUCGAGGGGCAGCAUGGUCUUAGCUUGCUAAGGCUGAUGGCGACCGGCGCACGGGUGAGUAACACGUAUCCAACCUGCCGUCUACUCUUGGCCAGCCUUCUGAAAGGAAGAUUAAUCCAGGAUGGGAUCAUGAGUUCACAUGUCCGCAUGAUUAAAGGUAUUUUCCGGUAGACGAUGGGGAUGCGUUCCAUUAGAUAGUAGGCGGGGUAACGGCCCACCUAGUCAACGAUGGAUAGGGGUUCUGAGAGGAAGGUCCCCCACAUUGGAACUGAGACACGGUCCAAACUCCUACGGGAGGCAGCAGUGAGGAAUAUUGGUCAAUGGGCGAUGGCCUGAACCAGCCAAGUAGCGUGAAGGAUGACUGCCCUAUGGGUUGUAAACUUCUUUUAUAAAGGAAUAAAGUCGGGUAUGCAUACCCGUUUGCAUGUACUUUAUGAAUAAGGAUCGGCUAACUCCGUGCCAGCAGCCGCGGUAAUACGGAGGAUCCGAGCGUUAUCCGGAUUUAUUGGGUUUAAAGGGAGCGUAGAUGGAUGUUUAAGUCAGUUGUGAAAGUUUGCGGCUCAACCGUAAAAUUGCAGUUGAUACUGGAUGUCUUGAGUGCAGUUGAGGCAGGCGGAAUUCGUGGUGUAGCGGUGAAAUGCUUAGAUAUCACGAAGAACUCCGAUUG